Molecule: ribosomal RNA, 460 nt
Filed under: uncultured bacterium
Lineage: Bacteria
Description: partial 16S ribosomal RNA
Rfam family: Bacterial small subunit ribosomal RNA
Source: RNAcentral
CCUACGGGAGGCAGCAGUGAGGAAUAUUGGUCAAUGGACGCAAGUCUGAACCAGCCAUGCCGCGUGCAGGAAGACGGCUCUAUGAGUUGUAAACUGCUUUUGUACGAGGGUAAACGCAGAUACGCGUAUCUUUCUGUAAGUAUCGUACGAAUAAUGAUCUGCUAACUCCGUGCCAGCAGCCGCGGUAAUACGGAGGAUUCAAGCGUUAUCCGGAUUUAUUGGGUUUAACGGGUGCGUAGGCGGUUGGAUAAGUUAGAGGUGAAAUCCCGAGGCUCAACUUGGGAAUUGCCUUUGAUACUGGUCGGCUAGAGUGUAGUUGCGGUAGGCGGAAUGUAUGGUGUAGCGGUGAAAUGCUUAGAGAUCAUACAGAACACCGAUUGCGAAGGCAGCUUACCAAGCUAUUUCUGACGUUGAGGCACGAAAGCGUGGGGAGCAAACAGGAUUAGAUACCCCGGUAGUC